This 157-nucleotide non-coding RNA is filed under the name Gordonia terrae. RNAcentral describes it as "FMN sequence". It matches the Rfam family "FMN riboswitch aptamer (RFN element)". Rfam says of the family: The RFN element is a highly conserved domain that is found frequently in the 5'-untranslated regions of prokaryotic mRNAs that encode for flavin mononucleotide (FMN) biosynthesis and transport proteins. This element is a metabolite-dependent riboswitch that directly binds FMN in the absence of proteins. Lineage: Bacteria; Bacillati; Actinomycetota; Actinomycetes; Mycobacteriales; Gordoniaceae. The record is from RNAcentral.
ACCAGUUCUCGGGGCGGGGUGAGAUUCCCCACCGGCGGUGAUGAGGGUGCGGUGGAUCCGCAUCGUCCAGCCCGCGAGCGCCUGCCACCAGGCAGGGACAGCAGAUUCGGUGCGAAUCCGAAGCCGACGGUCACAGUCCGGAUGCGAGAGAACAGGC